This 263-nucleotide long non-coding RNA is filed under the name Hordeum vulgare. Its description in RNAcentral is "long non-coding RNA (HVUL_LNC001138)". The record is from RNAcentral. Lineage: Eukaryota; Viridiplantae; Streptophyta; Magnoliopsida; Poales; Poaceae.
UUUCCCUUUACCCAUUUGCUCGUACAGGAUUUUCUUUUGAACUUUUUAAUGCAGACUUGAUUUUCCUUUUGUUUGCGUGUAAUCCCCUUCCUCGUGGGGAACGAUAGGUCUCAUAUCGUGUUGCUGGCGUAGAUCCAAAUUUUCUAUGAUGUUUCUGUUAGGCAAUAUAUGGAUCUUUUGGGUUCUAAAUCAUAGUCCCAACUUUCUGAACAAACUGCUAAUAAACUUGGUUGGUGAUUAUUCUUAAUGAAUUAGUCCAUUUU